ACGAACGCUGGCGGCGUGCUUAACACCUGCAAGUCGAACGGUGAAGCGCCUUCCUUUUUGGUGGGUGUGGAUGAGUGGCGAACGGGUGAGUAACACGUGAGUAACCUGCCCCCUUCUCCUGGAUAACCGCAUGAAAGUGUGGCUAAUACGGGAUAUUCUGGGUCUGUCGCAUGAUGGGUCUGGGAAAGAUAUUGUUUCGGUGGGGGAUGGGCUCGCGGCCUAUCAGCUUGUUGGUGGGGUGAUGGCCUACCAAGGCGGUGACGGGUAGCCGGCCUGAGAGGGUGGACGGUCACACUGGGACUGAGACACGGCCCAGACUCCUACGGGAGGCAGCAGUGGGGAAUAGUGCACAAUGGGCGCAAGCCUGAUGCAGCGACGCCGCGUGAGGGAUGGAGGCCUUCGGGUUGUGAACCUCUUUCGCCAGUGAAGCAGGCCUGCCUCGUUUGUGGGUGGGUUGACGGUAGCUGGAUAAGAAGCGCCGGCUAACUACGUG
RNAcentral lists this ribosomal RNA (493 nucleotides) under uncultured bacterium. RNAcentral's name for it is "partial 16S ribosomal RNA". It matches the Rfam family "Bacterial small subunit ribosomal RNA", at positions 29 to 507 of the family's 1533-position model. The record is from RNAcentral.